CCUAUGGGGUGCAGCAGGCGCGAAAACUUUACCAUGCGGGCAACCGUGAUAAGGAAACCCCGAGUGCCAGCAUAGGCUGGCUGUCCAUCAGUGUAAAUAACUGGUGAAGAAAGGGCCGGGCAAGACCGGUGCCAGCCGCCGCGGUAAUACCGGCGGCUCGAGUGGUGGCCACUAUUACUGGGCUUAAAGGGUCCGUAGCUUGAUAAUCAAGUCCCUUGAGAAAUCCGCCGGCUUAACUGGCGGGCGUUCAGGGGAAACUGGUUUUCUAGGGACCGGGAGAGGUGAGAGGUACUGCCGGGGUAGGAGUGAAAUCCUGUAAUCCCGGUGGGACCACCUAUAGCGAAGGCAUCUCACCAGAACGGGUCCGACAGUGAGGGACGAAAGCUGGGGGAGCAAACCGGAUUAGAUACCCUAGUAGUCC
Molecule: ribosomal RNA, 421 nt
Filed under: uncultured Methanospirillum sp.
Lineage: Archaea; Methanobacteriati; Methanobacteriota; Methanomicrobia; Methanomicrobiales; Methanospirillaceae
Description: bacterial SSU rRNA
Rfam family: Archaeal small subunit ribosomal RNA
Source: RNAcentral